GCAAAACUUUUCCUAUAAAUACCAAGCUACACUCAUUUUUUAAAGGGGGGGCAAUUUUGAAAAAAAAGGGGGAAACAAAACAAACCCUAAACCUAAAUCCAUCACUACCCAAACAGCCGCCCCCCACCCAUCUCAGCCGACCCAGCUUCUUCCCCUCAACAGCCAACAGACCAUCACACAGCCCCCUCCCUUGCCUCUGAUCUGCUCAAGCCGUUGCUCCCUCCCUUGAAAACAAAACUCUGUCCCAAAACAGCCGCUUCCCCACUCAGCCUGCACACCGUUCCCCAUCUUCUUUUCCUUUUCCAGCCAACAACACAGAGCCAAGGACCCCCCUUUGCCGUUUCAGCUCCAUCAGACCUCUCCUCUCUCAGACCGACCGUCAUCGUCCCCCACAGGAGCUGUAGAUCUGUCCUUUCCUCUCCUGUUCAACCGCAGUAAUCAUCCCACAGCUUCUCCAUCCAAAGCUUCCCCCUCAGCAGCCUCUUCUUUGGUGGUUUCUUCAACAGUAACGGCCAAAGAACAACCAAGACCGGUCAUCUCUUUCAACCGAUCGGUUGCAGAUCCACCCUCCGUCAGCCGCAGCAGCGCCCACAGAGCCGUCCCCAUCAUCACCAGAACCACAGACCGGCCUCCCCCGUUGAUAUCUCCGCCUCAACACCGUAAGCCACCUCUCCCAUCUCCAUAGCAGCUCCAGCGGCCGCGGGCGACAACAGAUCUCUUCUCCAUCGCCGCCGGCCAGACCCGACAAAAGCCUAGCAGCCGGCGGCCCUCUUGGUCAUACAGCCGACCACCUGAAACAGAGAAGGAGAAACAAAAAGGAAAAGAACUGAUCUGUAGAGGAGCCGAUCCGAAACGGAGAAAGAGACGCAGAUCUGAAACAAAGGAAAGAAAAACUAAAAUCGACUGCCUGUUGCGUUUUUUUGGGUAUUUUGCAGGUCACACCGGCGAGGACGGGAAGAGGGGAGGAAGCUGUGGCUGACCCCUGUUUUUUUUCAGCGUUUUGUGCGGCGGCGCGUGGAGGAGACGCGCCGCCACAGUUCCUACUGUCCUUUGGCUUCACAUAACUGGUCCCAGCACUGCUAUGAUUUUUUGAAUGGCUUGUUUUGUAAUUUUAGAAUUGUUUAAUGUAAUACUUGUUUAGUUUUGAGUUUUUUUUUGUAAUUUGUAUUUUUGUAAACAUAAAAAAAAAAGAUAAGGAAAAGAAAAGAAAAGAAAAGAAAAAUAGUGAAAGUGUAUGUGUGUGUUUGUAUGUUUUUUAUCUAUGAAUGUGUUUUUUUAUUUAUGAUAAAAUUGCAAAGAUUAAAGAAGAAUUUAAUAUUUUGAUUGGAUCACGGUCAAGAAUUAUUAACUUAUACGUAAGUUGUAUUUCUAAUAUCCGAUGAAAAAACAAUUAUUAAAACUUCUUUAAACACAUCAAAUUCGCGAAGCAGCUUACCUCAGGUAGGGUGCGUUAGGGGUGCUAAUACCUUCCCUAACCACAACCAGUCUCUUACCCGCGAAUCUCUGAUAAGACCAGUACAUCCGGUUUCCUAGUAGCCUUCAAUAAAUUACUAGGUGGCGACUCCAACGAACCAAUCCAAUUCAAAUCAAAACGACAAUGAAAAGAUCGUCAGCCGAUGCCGCGCGGAUUUUUUUGACGUGCGACAAAAUGGCGACUCCACUGGGGAAGGUACUGUUUCUGACAAUAUUGGACUAAGCUUUGUGUAUUUGAUGUGUGUUAGUUUUUGCAUUUUUGUCUUGUUUUAUUUUUAUUUUAUCCAUGCAUUUUUAGAAUUGUUUCAUGCAUCUCCUGUAUUUAUUUUUUAAAGCACACACAAGCUUCUAAGUUAGGUGGUGAAUUAGCGAUCUGCCCUAUGACUAUUGGUCAGGGUUCAGAUGCGUGAAAAACCGAACUCAUAUCUGAGUGCCUGCUUGGUAAUGGUGGGUAGACGUACCUUAACUAUUCCUUGCAACGCCCCCAUACUGUCUUUACGAAGAACGUCACUGGGCAGAUAUGAGACCCUUUUGAGACCAGGUAGAGAACCUACCCAUGUUCACAUAGUGAAUAGAACCUGUCCUUAGGUUGUAUGUGCUAUUUUUAUUUGCAUCAGGGCAAACCCUUCUUGAAGCAUCUUGAACUCAAGACUUGUGGGUGACCUAAUGGCCGUCACUCAGAAAAUUUUCAUUGUAGAGUUUGGGCAAGAAUCAAGAUUCUUGUUUCAUCAUACAAGAGUUACGACCAUAUGUCAACCCUUGAAGGGCGAGUUCAUCAUAUAGUUUACAUGUUCAUACAUUUAUCAUGCAUGUACCGGGUUGAAAGAUAGAUUCUCCCACACAAGCUGUGCUACGCGCGAAUGAAGAAAGAUGAUAGAAGCAAAGAAAGUUGUCGGAGAGAGGCUCAUUGUCAAAAGGAAGUUGAGAGCAUCAGAGGUGAAGUAGCUAGGCUCAGAUCUGCCUGAACAAGUGUAGAGCAUCAAAUGGAAAGGGAAUGUCUGCAUAGUCUUCUGUGGGAACACCGCUCGUCCACGUCCCAUUGAAGCUGCACCUCUCCUUUUCAGUCAUGAACAACGACAACAAUGCUUUCAGUCAUCAACUAGUGACAACUUUUGUUCUUGGUCAGUUGCCCUGUUAAUUGUUCAUCGCCUCCACAUCUUCUAAUGGCACCAAAUAAAUUUAGCCUUUGGUGCAUAGUGCGUUAGUCUUCUUUGAAGUUACCCCACUUUGAGCUCAAUUCCAGUUCAGCGGCACGAGAUGCUGAAUCUUAAAAAAAAAAAAAAAACCAUGAUUAUACACUGAACUUCUAUGUGGCAGAGCUCUCUCUGUAAAGAUUUGUUUGUGGAUCUGCUAGUGGGGAAUGCAAGAGGGGAUGUAGUAGUUUCAUAUGCUUUGAAACUUUCUCUCACCAGUGGCACCAGCAAAACAUUGUAGUAGUCAGAAGAGUCAGACAUGGUCUGAAAAUAUUAGCAGUCGUCAAACUUCAAUGUGGCAGAACUCUCUCUACAAAAAUCUAUUUAUGGCUCUGCAAGUUGGGAAUGCAAGAGGGGAUGUAGUAGUUUCAGACAAUGUGAAAAUUUAUGCCACCAGUUUCCGCACUGAAACACUGUAGUAGGCAGAAAAGCCAGACCUGAGCUAGAAAACAGGAGCAGAUAUAGAACUUCACCGUGGCAGAGCUCUCUCCGCAGAAAUCUGUUUGUUGCUCUGCAAGGGGAGAAUCCAAGAAGGAAUGAAGUAGUUUCAGAUCACCAAUAAGUUUCUCCUACCAGUGUCAACAUUAAAACGCGGAAGUGGGGAAAAGAGACAGACCUCGGCUGAAAAAUAGGAAGAAGAUUGAAACUUCAACAGAGCAGAGCUCCCUCUACAGGUGUCUGUUUGCUGCACUGUCAGUGAGGGAUCGAAGAGGAGACAAAAGAGUGUCAAAUUCAUCAGUUUCUCCAAUAAAAACAAUGCAUCAUUUCACACAUUGACAGUGAUAGCGCUGCAUGUUUCUGUGCGCUGCCAAGAUUACCUAGCUGUUGGAAGGUUUCCAACAAUCCACAAACGACCACAACAACAUUGGAAGAAUGACAUGAUGUUGUGAAGAUCAUCGAAAUAAUUAAGCUAGCUAUGAAGAUGAGAAAGAUUUAAGGUUCUGUCAAGAAUUCCAGAACAAUGAUGAGAGAUGAAUCAGGAGAUGACUCUGAAGAUGAGAAACCAUAGUUAUGUGGUUUAGUCAAGUCGCACUGUAGCACCAGCUACUCAAGUGUCUUUGCCAAGAUUGACAUCUUUCCGCCACCCAAGUUGGACUACUAGCAUCUGUCAGAUUCCAGACUUUUUGCCUGACUCUGUUAAAUCCCAUGCAACCACCGUUUUCUAGGUGGUAUAAUCCAGACAAGAGAUGUGAUGUCAUGGUGGGGUCCUCAGCUAUUUCAAUUGAACAAUUGCAAGAAUCGAGUCUGGAAAUUGGUGAGCAAAAGACGAGAGGAAUCUGUUAAGGAGCUUGUCAUUGAUCAUUUUGUCGCCAGAACAUCCUCAGAAUGACGAGUGAUCGAAAUUGCUCAGUAAACACAGAUAUUGCCAGAAUAGUUGAUCCAAGAAGGGCGUUGAACUGUCAAUCAUGUUGUUAUGGAUUUUUUGCCAUUCUGCAUUUUGUUUUGGGGUCACAUCUCAUCCUUGAACGAAACAUGUCUUUCCUUUGUCUUCCUGUUGUUUUGAAAUCAAGAGAUGCUUCUUUCAAAGGGUAUUUUUUUACAAAUAUUUUUGAUCAAACUCCAACAUGCGAUAAAGGUUAAUCAAUCCUGAAGAUUAAAAGUGUUUUGAUUACAGAAAUGACUCGAUGAUUGUUGAAAUGACAUGAUAACAUGAGGUGACCAAACAAAUUUUGAGCUCAUACCUCCUGAAACUGAACCACGCAUCAUAUAGCUAGUUUUAGCAGUAUGCAUAAUGACAUGUAGUGGAUUCAAUAGUUAUGGACUCGAAUCAUGACUCUUAUAAGUCCAAAUCAUUACACUAGAUGAGGUCAAAAUUUAUCGGUUCUAACCGACCUUGCUUGAAAUGAGAAAAGGCCAUUUUUGUUAUCCUUUCACAUUUCUUGAAAUAUUAUCCCUUGCGGUCCCCAUUUGAGCCUGAUAAAAUAUUUUCUUUCAAGAAACCCUGACUAGCAUCGCACCCCGCACUGGGGGCAAAUAAGAAAAGACAAAAGUGAAAGAGAAGGCUUAGAACAAAAGUCCAAUGAUUGAGAAAGGGCUAGAAGAAGAAAAGCCAUAGAUUGAGGGUCAUCCAAGUAAACUUUGAGGAAGGCUAUGUAAAAGCAAAAAAAAAAAAAAAGGUGGAAUGGAAGGAGAACGCCUAUCAGUUCUAAGAUGGGCAAAAGAGGUUUCAAUUGAAGAAAGACACAACAAAUGCUAAAAGUAAAAAAAAAAAUCAAGUUUCAUAUCUUUUUGUGUGUCUAGGAUAAAUCCUCUGAUGUCUUCAAAAAGAUUAGAUUGGUUAUUCAUCAAAGAAAAGUUGGAUUUGCAUUAUGACUUAUGCUAAGAGAAUUCUGAUCUUUGAGAUUAACAAGGUCAUAUGUCACUUUCUCUACAAUGACCACAAGAGAAAGAGAGUUGAUGAAUAGUUGAUAUUGAUCCUAGGUCUUUGAAACCCUUAAACACCUUUUGAGCAUGAAUUUUCCUUUCUUUCAUAAGUCAUGAACCAUAGCCUGCAUUACGUGCUGUAAAAAGCCCUUUUUAAUCAAGUAAGCAAUCUGAACUGAUAAAUGGCGCUCUCAAAACUUGAAGAGCUUUUCCAUAAGAGUCAUAGCUUCAUGGAUUAAGCUACUGGUUAUUAUGCAUGCUGAUAAAAUUGGUGUAAAAAAAAAAAACAAUCUUUCUUGAUGAAUCCUCAAGUUUUGACUUGAGUCUUUUGUUUUUUGAAAUUCACAUAAAGGUCACCUCAUCACAAACCAUCAAAAGAUAUACCCCAAAAUCAAAGUCUAAAAUGGAUACAAAGAACCAUGAAAAAGUCAUUUUAAACUUACAAUGGGUCAUUUCUGUUUUCAAAAUACAAGACAAUCAAAGGACUAUAUUGAAUAGUGUGUGUUGGGUCUUUGACCAAAAAGCUUGAUUUUCAAAAGAUCUUUUCCAAAACUGAUAUCUCUUUGAUUUCAUUUCAACAAUUAGACUUGAAUUGACAUGAUCUUUGAAAUAUGAGAGUUGAUUCCAGAACAAGAAAGAUUGUUAAACAACAAGAACAUCGACCGAAUUUGCAAAAUCCUUGACAAGAAUGACAUCAACAUUUCUCGACACUCCUUGAAAAGUUGACCACCUGGAGGCAAUACAGUGGAUCAUGGGUAGGAAAACAAACAGUAUUCAUAUCAGCUGGGGGCAAUGAAAGAUGAUUAAAUGAUGAAUCAGUGUACUAAAGACAAUGGUGUUCAAAGAAAGAUAAUCAAUGAACGAGCACAUUCAGAUCAUAUUGGGGGCAAUGUUGUUCAAAGAUAGUCCAUGAUCUAGUGAACCCCGUCAACAAUCGGGAAAGCAAAGAUACACUUGAAGGAAAUCUUUAUAUCGUCAUCUUUUGAAACAUGGCUAUCAACCGAUAUGGGCAUACAGUUGCAUUCGAACGAAUAUGGAAAAGAUGUGCACACCACCAAGAUUGAUUGCGGAACAAUGUUGUACUUGAAGGAUAAUGUCAUAUUAUCAUCUCCAACAUGGCUAUGACUUUUGAACGAUGUUAUCGCAUAGUUGUAUUUGAAUGAAUAUUGGAAGGAUGCACUCACCAAGACUGACUGUGGGACCAUCUUGAAGCUCGAAGGCGCACUUCAUCGCAUGAAUAUGGGUGAUAAAAUGAACAUCAUUGAUGAUGCCACUGCAUUUCUUUUCACAAUCCGAUUAGAAGAGCUAAGGGGAAUCUAUUGAGAAUAACACUGAGCAUACAACCAUGAGCCUUUGUACUGCAAGCUAUGAGAUGCAUGUCUGGAUGAUUGGAUAGUUUCAAUGAAGAUUGAUGAUAACAUAUACUUGAAGAGUAUUGUUUCAACUGGGGGCAAGUUCAUGACUGAUUAACAAUCUUGAUGGGUGUUGGCAUGAGGCACACAACCAAUCGAAAGAUAAUUUUCAGAAGAAUCCAGGAGAGAAAAUCCUUCAUGAUGAAUCAAGCAACACCGCACUUGGGGGCAGAGUCAAGCUUGAUAAACAACAAGAGCAGUAACCGUCAAAGACAGCCCCGGAUGUGCACUGCACUUACAACUGAGUGGAUGACUAGCACAUGAAUGAGCCAAUGCAUCGAAAGAACCAAUAAAGCUUUGGAAUGCAAACAAAGGCACCCUAUGACGAUGGAUCAUCAAAGGGGGGGCCUAUAUUUCACAUCAGGUAAGGAUGCAUGCAUGUCAUCUAACCUCAAAGCAUUGCACAUACUUGUGAUUUGUUACAGAAAGAUCCUCAAUGAAGUCCAGCAAGAUUGUGGACAAAGAAAGAAUCAUUGAGUUGAUAAUAACAGAGAAUCAUGGUUGUGACCUUGAAACGGGAAGAAGAUGAGAUAAACCUUACUGUUAGGAAAAUCUCAAAGAAAUGAAAAGAUCAACCUUGCAAUCAGGAAGCAUCGAGUUUUCAAAUCCUGCGAUCAAGAAUUAUCAAGAAGCACCAAGUUUUCCGGCCCUUCUUCUAUCAUCCCUUCAGGACUUCGCCAGGUAAGUCCCAUUUUUCACACUUGUCACAUCACAUCUUUCACAUGGGUAGGUCACCCAUAAUAAUGAGACCGCUUCAUAUUUUUCUCAUCUUCCACCUGGGUAGGUCACCCAUAACAAUGAGACCACUUCACAUUUUUUCUAUCUUCCACCUGGGUAGGUCACCCAUUAUAACGCGACCACUUCACAUUUUUUCUAUCUUCCACCUGGGUAGGUCACCCAUUAUAACGCGACCACUUCACAUUUUUUCUAUCUUCCACCUGGGUAAGUCACCCAUUAUAAUGAGACCGCACUUCACAUUCUUUCCAUUUGGGUAGGUCACCCAUCAUAAUGAGACCGUUUUCCAUAUUAUUUUUCUUGGGUAGGUCACCCAUACAAUGAGACCAUCAUUUUUCUUGGGUUCGUCACCCAUACAAUGAGACCAUCAUUUUUCUUGGGUUCGUCACCCAUACAAUGAGACCAUCAUUUUUCUUGGGUUCGUCACCCAUUACAAUGAGACCAUUUGUUCCACAUUCUUUGUUUUGGUUUAAUGAGGUCGCCAGAUGGGAUCUCAUGUAACUUUGGUUAAAGGGAAUCGCCAGAUGGGAUUUCAGGUUGACCGAGUUACGUAACAUCUUUUAGUUUUGGUUUAAUGAGGUCGCCAGAUGGGAUCUCAUGUAGCUUUGGUUAAAGGGAAUCGCCAGAUGGGAUUUCAGGUUGACCGAGCUACCACACAUUUUUUAGUUCUAGUUGAAUGAGGUCGCCAGAUGGGAUCUCAUGUAGCUUUGGUUAAAGGGAAUCGCCAGAUGGGAUUUCAGGUUGACCGAGCUACCAUAUUUUUUAGUUCCAGUUGAAUGAGGUCGCCAGAUGGGAUCUCAUGUAGCUUUGGUUAAAGGGAAUCGCCAGAUGGGAUUUCAGGUUGACCGAGCUACACACAUUUUUUUAGUUUUGGUUUAAUGAGGUCGCCAGAUGGGAUCUCAUGUUGGUUCUGGUUAAAGGGGAUCGCCGGAUGGGAUCUCAGGUUAGCCCAACCACACACAGGAUAUUGGUUCUGGUUAAAGGGGAUCGCCGGACGGGAUCUCAGGUUAGCCCAACCACACACAAGAUAUUGGUUCUGGUUAAAGGGGAUCACCGGACGGGAUCUCAGGUUAGCCCAACCACACAAGAUAUUGGUUCUGGUUAAAGGGGAUCGUCGAACGCGAUCCCAGGUUAGCCCAACCACACACAGGAUAAUGGUUCUGGUUAAAGGGGAUCGCCCGAUGGGAUCUUAGGUUAGCCCAACCACACACAAGAUUUUGGUUCUGGUUAAAGGGGGUUGUCGGACGGGAUCUCAGGUUAGCCCAACCACACACGAUAUUGGUUCUGGUUAAAGGGGAUCGCCGGACGAGAUCUCAGGUUAGCCCAACCACGCAGAUUUUGGUUUUGGUUCAAGGAGAUCGCCUGAUGGGAUCUCAGGUAAAAAAAAAAAACAAAAAAAAAGAAAGAAACAUUUAGAGUUUUUCUUUACAAAGCUUACUAUGCGAAACAUUGAAGAGUUUUGCUUCGUAAGCAUUGUAAAGAGGGGGCACCUGUUGCUACCCAAUUUUUGACCUAUGUUUUGAUAAAUUUUCAGAAAAAUCCAAAAAUAGCGAAAAAAACAUUGAAAAAUCCAAAAAUAGCGAAAAAACAUUGAAAAUCCCAAAAAUACAUUUUUUAUACAUUUGUAUCGUUUUUAGCAUUUUUAGCAUCGUCUCAAAAAGAAUUUAAAUUUUCAAAGACAUUUGGAACGCGUUCAACUUUUCACGCGUCAUUUUUAAAAUCAUUGAUUUUCCGCAUUGAGUCGAUGUUGAUAUUUGCUCGCUUUCAAAAAUACAAAAAAUAAGAAAAAUCAAAAUUUACAAAAAAAGAGGAAAAGAGAAGGAAAGGAAAAGUUGAGGGACUAGUUUGAAAACCUAGCAAAACUUUUCCUAUAAAUACCAAGCUACACUGAUUUUUUAAAGUGGGGGGCAAUUUUGAAAAAAAAGGGGGAAACAAAACAAACCCUAAACCUAAAUCCAUCACUACCCAAACAGCCGCCCCCCACCCAUCUCAGCCGACCCAACUUCUUCCCCUCAACAGCCAACAGACCAUCACACAGCCCCCUCCCUUGCCUCUGAUCUGCUCAAGCCGUUGCUCCCUCCCUUGAAAACAAAACUCUGUCCCAAAACAGCCGCUUCCCCACUCAGCCUGCACACCGUUCCCCAUCUUCUUUUCCUUUUCCAGCCAACAACACAGAGCCAAGGACCCCCCUUUGCCGUUUCAGCUCCAUCAGACCUCUCCUCUCUCAGACCGACCGUCAUCGUCCCCCACAGGAGCUGUAGAUCUGUCCUUUCCUCUCCUGUUCAACCGCAGUAAUCAUCCCACAGCUUCUCCAUCCAAAGCUUCCCCCUCAGCAGCCUCUUCUUCGAUGGUUUCUUCAACAGUAACGGCCAAAGAACAACCAAGACCGGUCAUCUCUUUCAACCGAUCGGUUGCAGAUCCACCCUCCGUCAGCCGCAGCAGCGCCCACAGAGCCGUCCCCAUCAUCACCAGAACCAUAGACCGGCCUCCCCCGUUGAUAUCUCCGCCUCAACACCGUCAGCCACCUCUCCCAUCUCCAUAGCAGCUCCAGCGGCCGCGGGCGACAGCAGAUCUCUUCUCCAUCGCCGCCGGCCAGACCCGACAAAAGCCUAGCAGCCGGCGGUCCUCUUGGUCAUACAGCCGACCACCUGAAACAGAGAAGGAGAAACAAAAAGGAAAAGAACCGAUCUGUAGAGGAGCCGAUCCGAAACGGAGAAAGAGACGCAGAUCUGAAACAAAGGAAAGAAAAACUAAAAUCGACUGCCUGUUGCGUUUUUUUGGGUAUUUUGCAGGUCACACUGGCGAGGACGGGAAGAGGGGAGGAAGCUGUGGCUGACCCCUGUUUUUUUUCAGCGUUUUGUGCGGCGGCGCGUGGAGGAGACGCGCCGCCACAGUUCCUACUGUCCUUUGGCUUCACAUAACUGGUCCCAGCACUGCUAUGAUUUUUUGAAUGGCUUGUUUUGUAAUUUUAGAAUUGUUUGAUGUAAUAUUUGUUUAGUUUUGAGUUUUUUUUUUGUAAUUUGUAUUUUUGUAAACAUAAAAAAAAAAGAUAAGGAAAAGAAAAGAAAAGAAAAGAAAAAUAGUGAAAGUGUAUGUGUGUGUUUGUAUGUUUUUUAUCUAUGAAUGUGUUUUUUUAUUUAUGAUAAAAUUGCAAAGAUUAAAGAAGAAUUUAAUAUUUUGAUUGGAUCACGGUCAAGAAUUAUUAACUUAUACGUAAGUUGUAUUUCUAAUAUCCGAUGAAAAAACAAUUAUUAAAACUUCUUUAAACACAUCAAAUUCGCGAAGCAGCUUAC
RNAcentral lists this long non-coding RNA (10470 nucleotides) under Populus trichocarpa (black cottonwood). RNAcentral describes it as "long non-coding RNA (PTRI_LNC003558)". Lineage: Eukaryota; Viridiplantae; Streptophyta; Magnoliopsida; Malpighiales; Salicaceae. The record is from RNAcentral.